GGCGUGCCUAAUACAUGCAAGUCGAGCGGAAUGAUGAAGAAGCUUGCUUCUUCUGAUUUUAGCGGCGGACGGGUGAGUAACACGUGGGCAACCUACCUUGUAGAUUGGGAUAACUCCGGGAAACCGGGGCUAAUACCGAAUAAUCCAUUUUGCUUCAUGGCGAGAUGUUGAAAGACGGUUUCGGCUGUCACUACAAGAUGGGCCCGCGGCGCAUUAGCUAGUUGGUAGGGUAAUGGCCUACCAAGGCGACGAUGCGUAGCCGACCUGAGAGGGUGAUCGGCCACACUGGGACUGAGACACGGCCCAGACUCCUACGGGAGGCAGCAGUAGGGAAUCUUCCACAAUGGACGAAAGUCUGAUGGAGCAACGCCGCGUGAGUGAAGAAGGUUUUCGGAUCGUAAAACUCUGUUGUAAGGGAAGAACACGUACGAGAGUAACUGCUCGUACCUUGACGGUACCUUAUUAGAAAGCCACGGCUAACUACGUG
This 487-nucleotide ribosomal RNA is filed under the name uncultured bacterium. RNAcentral describes it as "bacterial SSU rRNA". It matches the Rfam family "Bacterial small subunit ribosomal RNA", at positions 41 to 507 of the family's 1533-position model. The record is from RNAcentral.